This 892-nucleotide ribosomal RNA is filed under the name Vibrio parahaemolyticus. RNAcentral's name for it is "bacterial SSU rRNA". It matches the Rfam family "Bacterial small subunit ribosomal RNA", at positions 77 to 968 of the family's 1533-position model. The record is from RNAcentral. Lineage: Bacteria; Pseudomonadati; Pseudomonadota; Gammaproteobacteria; Vibrionales; Vibrionaceae.
CGAUAACGGCGUCGAGCGGCGGACGGGUGAGUAAUGCCUAGGAAAUUGCCCUGAUGUGGGGGAUAACCAUUGGAAACGAUGGCUAAUACCGCAUGAUGCCUACGGGCCAAAGAGGGGGACCUUCGGGCCUCUCGCGUCAGGAUAUGCCUAGGUGGGAUUAGCUAGUUGGUGAGGUAAGGGCUCACCAAGGCGACGAUCCCUAGCUGGUCUGAGAGGAUGAUCAGCCACACUGGAACUGAGACACGGUCCAGACUCCUACGGGAGGCAGCAGUGGGGAAUAUUGCACAAUGGGCGCAAGCCUGAUGCAGCCAUGCCGCGUGUGUGAAGAAGGCCUUCGGGUUGUAAAGCACUUUCAGUCGUGAGGAAGGUAGUGUAGUUAAUAGCUGCAUUAUUUGACGUUAGCGACAGAAGAAGCACCGGCUAACUCCGUGCCAGCAGCCGCGGUAAUACGGAGGGUGCGAGCGUUAAUCGGAAUUACUGGGCGUAAAGCGCAUGCAGGUGGUUUGUUAAGUCAGAUGUGAAAGCCCGGGGCUCAACCUCGGAAUUGCAUUUGAAACUGGCAGACUAGAGUACUGUAGAGGGGGGUAGAAUUUCAGGUGUAGCGGUGAAAUGCGUAGAGAUCUGAAGGAAUACCGGUGGCGAAGGCGGCCCCCUGGACAGAUACUGACACUCAGAUGCGAAAGCGUGGGGAGCAAACAGGAUUAGAUACCCUGGUAGUCCACGCCGUAAACGAUGUCUACUUGGAGGUUGUGGCCUUGAGCCGUGGCUUUCGGAGCUAACGCGUUAAGUAGACCGCCUGGGGAGUACGGUCGCAAGAUUAAAACUCAAAUGAAUUGACGGGGGCCCGCACAAGCGGUGGAGCAUGUGGUUUAAUUCGAUGCAACGCGAAGAA